Molecule: ribosomal RNA, 253 nt
Filed under: uncultured bacterium
Lineage: Bacteria
Description: partial 16S ribosomal RNA
Rfam family: Bacterial small subunit ribosomal RNA
Source: RNAcentral
UACGGGGGGGGCAAGCGUUGUUCGGAAUUACUGGGCGUAAAGGGCUCGUAGGCGGUUUGUCGCGUCGGGAGUGAAAACUCAGGGCUCAACCCUGAGCGUGCUUCCGAUACGGGCAGACUAGAGGUAUGCAGGGGAGAACGGAAUUCCUGGUGUAGCGGUGGAAUGCGCAGAUAUCAGGAGGAACACCGGUGGCGAAGGCGGUUCUCUGGGCAUUACCUGACGCUGAGGAGCGAAAGCAUGGGGAGCGAACAGG